GAUGAACGCUGACAGAAUGCUUAACACAUGCAAGUCAACUUGAACUUCGGUUUGGGUGGCGGACGGGUGAGUAACGCGUACAGAACUUGCCUCACAGAUAGGGACAACAUUUGGAAACGAAUGCUAAUACCUGAUAUUAUGAUUAUAUGGCAUCGUAUAAUUAUGAAAGCUAUAUGCGCUGUGAGAGAGCUUUGCGUCCCAUUAGCUAGUUGGAGAGGUAACGGCUCACCAAGGCGAUGAUGGGUAGCCGGCCUGAGAGGGUGAUCGGCCACAAGGGGACUGAGACACGGCCCGUACGCCUACGGGAGGCAGCAGUGGGGAAUAUUGGACAAUGGACCAAGAGUCUGAUCCAGCAAUUCUGUGUGCACGAUGAAGUUUUUCGGAAUGUAAAGUGCUUUCAGUUGGGAAGAAAAAAAUGACGGUACCAACAGAAGAAGUGACGGCUAAAUACGUG
RNAcentral lists this ribosomal RNA (454 nucleotides) under uncultured bacterium. RNAcentral describes it as "partial 16S ribosomal RNA". It matches the Rfam family "Bacterial small subunit ribosomal RNA", at positions 28 to 507 of the family's 1533-position model. The record is from RNAcentral.